RNAcentral lists this ribosomal RNA (465 nucleotides) under Vreelandella stevensii. Its description in RNAcentral is "partial 16S ribosomal RNA". It matches the Rfam family "Bacterial small subunit ribosomal RNA", at positions 338 to 795 of the family's 1533-position model. The record is from RNAcentral. Lineage: Bacteria; Pseudomonadati; Pseudomonadota; Gammaproteobacteria; Oceanospirillales; Halomonadaceae.
CCUACGGGCGGCAGCAGUGGGGAAUAUUGGACAAUGGGGGGAACCCUGAUCCAGCCAUGCCGCGUGUGUGAAGAAGGCCCUCGGGUUGUAAAGCACUUUCAGUGAGGAAGAACGCCUGGUGGUUAAUACCCAUCAGGAAAGACAUCACUCACAGAAGAAGCACCGGCUAACUCCGUGCCAGCAGCCGCGGUAAUACGGAGGGUGCGAGCGUUAAUCGGAAUUACUGGGCGUAAAGCGCGCGUAGGUGGCUUGAUAAGCCGGUUGUGAAAGCCCCGGGCUCAACCUGGGAACGGCAUCCGGAACCGUCAAGCUAGAGUGCAGGAGAGGAAGGUAGAAUUCCCGGUGUAGCGGUGAAAUGCGUAGAGAUCGGGAGGAAUACCAGUGGCGAAGGCGGCCUUCUGGACUGACACUGACACUGAGGUGCGAAAGCGUGGGUAGCAAACAGGAUUAGAUACCCGUGUAGUC